RNAcentral lists this ribosomal RNA (225 nucleotides) under uncultured bacterium. RNAcentral describes it as "partial 16S ribosomal RNA". It matches the Rfam family "Bacterial small subunit ribosomal RNA", at positions 95 to 334 of the family's 1533-position model. The record is from RNAcentral.
UAGGCGUACGGGUGAGUAACACGUGGAUUAUCUACCUCUUAGUGGGGAAUAACUCUGGGAAACCGGAGCUAAUACCGCAUAAGCCUGGAAAGGGAAAGCAGCAAUGCGCUGAGAGAGGAGUCCGCGGCCGAUUAGCUAGUUGGCAGGGUAAAAGCCUACCAAGGCUAUGAUCGGUAGCCGGCCUGAGAGGGCACACGGCCACACUGGCACUGAAACACGGUCCAG